RNAcentral lists this small RNA (92 nucleotides) under Mariniflexile fucanivorans. Its description in RNAcentral is "Flavo-1 RNA". Lineage: Bacteria; Pseudomonadati; Bacteroidota; Flavobacteriia; Flavobacteriales; Flavobacteriaceae. The record is from RNAcentral.
UGUUUGCGUUAGCGAUUGCAGUGGAAAGCCCGCAGCGCAUCCCGAUUUUUAUCGGGAUGUACGAGGACUUGUAACGGAAAGCGCGACCCCCG